This 253-nucleotide ribosomal RNA is filed under the name uncultured bacterium. RNAcentral's name for it is "partial 16S ribosomal RNA". It matches the Rfam family "Bacterial small subunit ribosomal RNA", at positions 524 to 776 of the family's 1533-position model. The record is from RNAcentral.
UACGAAGGGGGCUAGCGUUGUUCGGAUUUACUGGGCGUAAAGCGCACGUAGGCGGCUCGUUAAGUCAGGGGUGAAAUCCUGGGGCUCAACCCCAGAACUGCCUUUGAUACUGGCGAUCUCGAGUCCGGAAGAGGUGAGUGGAACUCCUAGUGUAGAGGUGGAAUUCGUAGAUAUUAGGAAGAACACCAGUGGCGAAGGCGGCUCACUGGUCCGGUACUGACGCUGAGGUGCGAAAGCGUGGGGAGCAAACAGG